ACCGUCUAGAGGUAAGCGGGUGGACCCGUCCAGUCGGCCCUCGGAAUUCAGCUUUUGGGAAAGUCUGCUGGCGCAGUUCUGGGAUCCCUGGGACUCGCUCGGCGCCAGACCGGACUCCCGAGAGUGCACUUUCCGUGUUGGCAGAGCGUCACGACCGGUUUUGCGGCGGUGAGAAGGCCCUCGGGAAGGUAGGUCGUCGUCCUUCGGGGUGACGACUGUUAUAGACCUUGGGAGAUGGCCGCUGCGAGACCGUGGAUCGACCCGUCGUAGGGCAGUGGGGCUUCCCGUGUGCGUUCGACUCGGAAGGACAGGCUUGCCGUGCUUCCGGACUGCGCUGCGUGGGAGGACUCUGCUAUAGCCCGCGAUGCGUUAGGGUCAGUGACACACGAUCGGUAAUCCACCCGGCCCGUCUUGAAACACGGACCAAGAAGUCCAACAUGUGCGCGAGUCAUUGGGUCCUACGAAACCUAAAGGCGUAAUGAAGGUGAAGGCAGGUUCGGCCUGCUGAGGUGAGAUCCUCGUCCUCGGGCGGGGCGCAUCACCGGCCCGUCUGCAAAGGCGGAGCAAGAGCGCACACGUUGGGACCCGAAAGAUGGUGAACUAUGCCUGAGCAGGAUGAAGCCAGAGGAAACUCUGGUGGAAGUCCGUAGCGAUUCUGACGUGCAAAUCGAUCGUCGAACUUGGGUAUAGGGGCGAAAGACUAAUCGAACCAUCUAGUAGCUGGUUCCCUCCGAAGUUUCCCUCAGGAUAGCUGGCGCUCGUCUUAACAGUUUUAUCCGGUAAAGCGAAUGAUUAGAGGCCUUGGGGACGAAACGUCCUCAACCUAUUCUCAAACUUUAAAUGGGUAAGGAGUCGGACUCGCUCGAUCUGGAGUCCGGACUGGAAUGUGAGUGCCAAGUGGGCCACUUUUGGUAAGCAGAACUGGCGCUGUGGGAUGAACCAAACGUCCGGUUAAGGUGCCUAACACUGACGCUCAUGAGAUACCAUAAAAGGUGUUGGUUGAUAUAGACAGCAGGACGGUGGCCAUGGAAGUCGGAAUCCGCUAAGGAG
This 1050-nucleotide ribosomal RNA is filed under the name Bolma henica. RNAcentral describes it as "eukaryotic LSU rRNA". It matches the Rfam family "Eukaryotic large subunit ribosomal RNA", at positions 404 to 1278 of the family's 3401-position model. The record is from RNAcentral. Lineage: Eukaryota; Metazoa; Mollusca; Gastropoda; Trochida; Turbinidae.